This 68-nucleotide transfer RNA is filed under the name Scarelus brastagiensis. Its description in RNAcentral is "tRNA-Phe". Lineage: Eukaryota; Metazoa; Arthropoda; Insecta; Coleoptera; Lycidae. The record is from RNAcentral.
UAUUGAAGAUAUUUAGGUAGUAAUUUAUUACUUUAGAAUAUUAAUAAAAUUUUGGUUUAAUUUUACAA